Magnolia sinica is the source of this 107-nucleotide small nucleolar RNA. Lineage: Eukaryota; Viridiplantae; Streptophyta; Magnoliopsida; Magnoliales; Magnoliaceae. The record is from RefSeq and is a predicted model, not a curated record.
AAACCAUGUUGUGGGCAUGAGUUAACAAGAUCCAUGAACCGCUCUCAACAUUAGAAGAAUGUUUCAUCUUCCUUUUGCGCAUUGUUCAUGAUUGAUUUUUUAAGAGU